GCUAGGAGGACAAAAGUUGGGAUAGAGCUGGCUGGGAGGAUGUGCCCGCUGAAGUUGCUGUCUUCUUCCUUCUCUCACUGUUUUUAGCCGAUAAAAAAAGUACAAAAAGAUAAGUAAACAUUCAUUAAUUUCAAUAUUGAAUGUAAACAUACCUGUGAUCUCUCUCUUUUCCUGCUAAUUUGGCUCCCAGUUUGACUAGAUGUAAGUGGUAUCUUAUUUCUUCUUCACCUUGUCCUUCUUAGGGCCUUAAUUUGUAAGUCCUAGAGUUAUGGCCCUACUAUUGGCAAUUUUUGUACCUUAAGGAUGUACCCUUCCUUCUGUAUCUACUAGAAUCUUUUGGCUCAUCCUUUUCUUUUCUUCUUGCCUUCUUGGGUCUACUUGGAAAAGCCCUUAGAGGAGGGAGAAUACAAUGGGGUAUUUUGUCCUUGGCCAAGAUUUCAUGCUUGGUACCGGCUCAAUGAUAUAUUCAUAGGCCAAUGCCCAUAUUACUUUAGUGUAGCAUACACUAACAAAAUAUUCUGCUUCCUUCCUAACAUACAUAAUAGCUACUACAGCAUGGCAGCAUGGCUUGCCAGUUAAAUCCCAUACCCUAUAUCCACAUAUACUCUCCUCUAAAUCAAC
Molecule: long non-coding RNA, 621 nt
Filed under: Elaeis guineensis (African oil palm)
Lineage: Eukaryota; Viridiplantae; Streptophyta; Magnoliopsida; Arecales; Arecaceae
Description: long non-coding RNA (EGUI_LNC075505)
Source: RNAcentral